Caenorhabditis elegans is the source of this 278-nucleotide non-coding RNA. Lineage: Eukaryota; Metazoa; Nematoda; Chromadorea; Rhabditida; Rhabditidae. The record is from Ensembl.
AAAAUAAAGAAACAUGUGGAAAAUUUUAAAAAGGUUGAAAGAAAAAAACAAUGGGAUUGAGUGUCCUCUCUUCCUUGCUCCUCCCGAGUUUUCUAGGACAUUGCAGGUGGGAUGAAGAUGAAGGAGAAACGGGGCGGGAAUGUGAAUAGGUUGACAGAGAAAACAGAAAAACGAGGCGUGCUCCCACUGGGGAAAAGGUAUUCGAGGUGCAAGAGGGGACAAAUGUCAACUGAUAGAGAUAAAUGAGAUGGCAUCACAGAAGCCAGUUUCUGUUUUUG